RNAcentral lists this long non-coding RNA (282 nucleotides) under Panax ginseng (ginseng). RNAcentral describes it as "long non-coding RNA (PGIN_LNC002199)". The record is from RNAcentral. Lineage: Eukaryota; Viridiplantae; Streptophyta; Magnoliopsida; Apiales; Araliaceae.
GAAGAGGUAAGGAUACCUUGAUUUCAUUUCAGAUUCUAACUCCCAGGUCAUUUCCUCAACAUCGUGGUUCCUCCAUAAAACUUUGACUUGAGGUAUAACCUUGGAGCGUAAAAUAUGUUCCUUCUUAUCCAAGAUUUGAACAGGAACCUCUUCAUACGUUAAAUCUUCCGCUAUUUCGUCCGGUUCUAACUCAAUAAUGUGGUUCGGGUCUUUCACAUAUUUACGUAACAUGGAUAUAUGAAAAACGUUAUGAACAAGAGACAUACUUGGCGGUAAGGCGAG